GUGGGGGAUAUUGCACAAUGGAGGAAACUCUGAUGCAGCGACGCCGCGUGAGUGAAGAAGUAUUUCGGUAUGUAAAGCUCUAUCAGCAGGGAAGAUAAUGACAGUACCUGACUAAGAAGCCCCGGCUAACUACGUGCCAGCAGCCGCGGUAAUACGUAGGGGGCAAGCGUUAUCCGGAUUUACUGGGUGUAAAGGGAGCGUAGAUGGAAUGGCAAGUCUGAAGUGAAAUCCUGCGGCUUAACUGCAGAAUUGCUUUGGAAACUGUCAAUCUGGAGUGUUGGAGAGGUAAGCGGAAUUCCUGGUGUAGCGGUGAAAUGCGUAGAUAUCAGGAAGAACACCGGAGGCGAAGGCGGCUUACUGGACAAUAACUGACGUUGAGGCUCGAAAGCGUGGGAAGCAAACAGGAUUAGAAACCCCUGUAGUCC
RNAcentral lists this ribosomal RNA (425 nucleotides) under uncultured bacterium. RNAcentral describes it as "partial 16S ribosomal RNA". It matches the Rfam family "Bacterial small subunit ribosomal RNA", at positions 354 to 796 of the family's 1533-position model. The record is from RNAcentral.